UGAAAACUACAUUGCCUUUAUUCGCCUUCUGUUCGAACACCAGCUGUGAGGAUUGCACUGAAUUGUUGAAUAAUCUCUGCUAAUGUCUCUGUAUUUUUAGCUUGACUAAUAACAUUUACAUAAUCAGAGAAGAAUCUGGUGACGACAAAAUCUUUUGUUCAUUACAUCAACUGGUGUCAGAGAGAAUGAUGAAAGAGCAGCCUUUUAAGAUUUUACUGAGAAGCAGGAGCACCCCAAGAAGUCUUGGAAAUUGAAGGCUACUUUUAUUGUAAAAAAAGGUAAGAAUUCAUCUGCUUUAAAUUUUUUCCCCCAUAAUAAUCAUAUGCAUGGUUCAGAUAAUACCAUAUUGACUCUUUGAUUCUGUUGCUUUAAUAUGACUUCACCAUAAUCUCUGUGAAGAGUAUAUAUGAUAUAUAUGAUAACACUGUAUGAAAAGAUCUAGCAGUUUAGUAGUCACUCUAUAUAUCAAAUAGCUGGGCAUCAAACUGCCUGAACUUUGACUUCACUGCAAUUUUCUGGAACAAUUUUUUCCCUGAAACUAAUCCUUAAUGAACUGCUCACCCUCCCCUCAAUAAAAGCUUCCCUAUACCAGUGUAGGCAAACAUCAGAAUGUAAAGCAGAUACUGCUUAUAAGUGGAUCAUGAAGAAACUGCAGAAAAAUUAAAAGGCUGCAUGGGUUUUCCUAUUUGCUAGUUUUUAAUUCAUUUAAACCUUUUAUUCUACAGUGAUUUUGUAAUUAGACAAGCUAUAGCUAUAAACCGAAUAAUCCCUGAGUGACAGACUGUGGCAUAUAUUGUUUAUGCUUUACAAAGUCAUCUAUAAUCUCUGGCUUUCAGGAACUGCUUUAGGUGGUAUUUUCAGCUCAGAGAAGGGGCAGGCCUAUGGAAGGAUGCUGGAGCUACCAAGGUCCAAGACAGCUGUUGCCAUAGACACCAGUUUUGAAGGGGCAGAUUGAGCCUCUUGAGGGGAAGAUCUGGUCCUACCUCCAUGCUUAGCCAAGUGUCUCCCACACAUUUCUGGAUUAAGGAUGUCUGUGAGCCUCAAAAUGGACAUUUCCCCAGUUUGGUAGCCAGAGCCAGACUGAGUCUGCAGGGAGCUGUCAGAGAAUUAAUCCAUCAUGAGUUGGAAAUGUCUCUUGAAGAUACAUGCAUCUUCCCAUUACAGCAUGGUCAAAUGCCAGCCUGUUUCUUUGAGAAUUCUUUUGAAGAUUCUAAGCCAGUUAGUAGCUUGAUUUUUCUCUCUCCUGACUUCUUUUUGCAGCAGAUUAUGUCAUUGAAAGCUAUGGGAGCUUAG
This 1293-nucleotide long non-coding RNA is filed under the name Taeniopygia guttata (zebra finch). Its description in RNAcentral is "lncRNA (ENSTGUG00000026981.1)". Lineage: Eukaryota; Metazoa; Chordata; Aves; Passeriformes; Estrildidae. The record is from RNAcentral.